RNAcentral lists this transfer-messenger RNA (362 nucleotides) under marine eukaryotic metagenome. It matches the Rfam family "transfer-messenger RNA". Rfam says of the family: Bacterial tmRNA, also known as 10Sa RNA or SsrA, is named for its dual tRNA and mRNA-like properties. Its role is to liberate the mRNA from a stalled ribosome. The record is from RNAcentral.
GGGGCUGACACGGUCUCGACCGUGGUCAUCACCGCCGGUGCGGGAGCGUGCCGAGGAUGCUCACGCGUGCCUCGAUAAUCCCACGUGAGGACCAAUACACGCCAAGGACACUGACCUGGCCCUCGCUGCCUGAUACGCAGCGACGAUCGCCCUCUGACGCCCCGUAGGGGGGGUCGAUCGCCAUCACGGGGAUCCACCCGAACGGCUCCGACCAUGUGGCCCGAGGGGACAUCGCAGCAUGGUGUGGACGCGGGGGCUGCCUGGCCCCGGAGCACCGCGUCCGAGACCAUCCGGGACCUACGCACGUAGCGCCUUCAUCGUCGGGGCCGCGGGACCCGGGUUCGACUCCCGGCAGCUCCACC